AUGCAAGUCGAACGAGAAUCUGCUGAAGGAGGAUUCGUCCAACGGAAGCAGAGGAAAGUGGCGGACGGGUGAGUAACGCGUGAGGAACCUGCCUUGAAGAGGGGGACAACAGUUGGAAACGACUGCUAAUACCGCAUGACGCAUAGAGGUCGCAUGAUCUUUAUGCCAAAGAUUUAUCGCUUCAAGAUGGCCUCGCGUCUGAUUAGCUGGUUGGCGGGGUAACGGCCCACCAAGGCGACGAUCAGUAGCCGGACUGAGAGGUUGAACGGCCACAUUGGGACUGAGAUACGGCCCAGACUCCUACGGGAGGCAGCAGUGGGGAAUAUUGGGCAAUGGGCGCAAGCCUGACCCAGCAACGCCGCGUGAAGGAAGAAGGCUUUCGGGUUGUAAACUUCUUUUAAGAGGGAAGAGCAGAAGACGGUACCUCUAGAAUAAGCCACGGCUAACUACGUGCCAGCAGCCGCGGUAAUACGUAGGUGGCAAGCGUUGUCCGGAUUUACUGGGUGUAAAGGGCGUGCAGCCGGGUCUGCAAGUCAGAUGUGAAAUCCAUGGGCUCAACCCAUGAACUGCAUUUGAAACUGUGGAUCUUGAGUGUCGGAGGGGCAAUCGGAAUUCCUAGUGUAGCGGUGAAAUGCGUAGAUAUUAGGAGGAACACCAGUGGCGAAGGCGGAUUGCUGGACGAUAACUGACGGUGAGGCGCGAAAGUGUGGGGAGCAAACAGGAUUAGAUACCCUGGUAGUCCACACUGUAAACGAUGAAUACUAGGUGUGCGGGGACUGACCCCCUGCGUGCCGCAGUAAACACAAUAAGUAUUCCACCUGGGGAGUACGAUCGCAAG
Molecule: ribosomal RNA, 838 nt
Filed under: uncultured bacterium
Lineage: Bacteria
Description: bacterial SSU rRNA
Rfam family: Bacterial small subunit ribosomal RNA
Source: RNAcentral